GGAAGCGUGCCUGAAUUAAAGGAUCACUUUGAUAGAGUGAAUUAUGAGUGUUAAAAUCACUCCCCUUCCU
This 70-nucleotide transfer RNA is filed under the name Zapteryx exasperata (banded guitarfish). RNAcentral describes it as "tRNA-Ile". It matches the Rfam family "tRNA". From Rfam's summary of the family: Transfer RNA (tRNA) molecules are approximately 80 nucleotides in length. Their secondary structure includes four short double-helical elements and three loops (D, anti-codon, and T loops). The record is from RNAcentral. Lineage: Eukaryota; Metazoa; Chordata; Chondrichthyes; Rhinopristiformes; Rhinobatidae.